GAGUUUGAUCCUGGCUCAGGACGAAGAGGAGGGGGGCUUAACACAUGCAAGUCGAACGGGCCCGUCCUUGUUUUUUUGGGGGCGGGUUGAGUGGCGAACGGGUGAGUAUCACGUGAGUAACCUGCCCUCCUCUCCUGGAUAACCGCUUGAUAGGGCGGCUAAUACGGGGUGGUCCGGUUGGUCCGCAUGGGCUGGUCGGGAUAGUUUCAUCUUCGGGUGUUUCGGUGGGGGAUGGGCUCGCGGCCUAUCAGCUUGUUGGUGGGGUGAUGGCCCACCAAGGCGGUGACGGGUAGCCGGCCUGAAAGGGUGGGCGGCCACACUGGGACUGAGACACGGCCCAGACUCCUGCGGGAGGCAGCAGUGGGGGGUAUUGCACAAUGGGCGGAAGCCUGAUGCAGCGACGUCGCGUGAGGGAUGGGGGCCUUCGGGUUGUGAACCUCUGUUUCCGGUGGUGAAGGCCCCGCCCUUGGUGGUGGGGUUGACGGUAGCCGGGUAUGAAGCGCCGGCUAACUACGUGCCAGCAGCCGCGGUAAUACGUAGGGCGCGAGCGUUGUCCGGAAUUAUUGGGCGUAAAGGGCUUGUAGGCGGCCGGCCGCGUCCGUCGUGAAAUCCUCCGGCUCAACCGGGGG
Molecule: ribosomal RNA, 629 nt
Filed under: uncultured bacterium
Lineage: Bacteria
Description: bacterial SSU rRNA
Rfam family: Bacterial small subunit ribosomal RNA
Source: RNAcentral